This 788-nucleotide ribosomal RNA is filed under the name uncultured archaeon. RNAcentral describes it as "bacterial SSU rRNA". It matches the Rfam family "Archaeal small subunit ribosomal RNA", at positions 85 to 878 of the family's 1478-position model. The record is from RNAcentral.
ACUGCUCAGUAACACGUGGAUAACCUGCCCUGCGGUGGGAAAUAACCCCGGGAAACUGGGGAUAAUGUCCCAUAGGCUACGGAUGCUGGAAUGCUCUGUAGCUCAAAGAUUUAUCGCCACAGGAUGGGUCUGCGGCCGAUUAGGUAGUUGUUGGGGUAACGGCCCAACAAGCCUUUGAUCGGUACGGGUUGUGGGAGCAAGAGCCCGGAGAUGGAUUCUGAGACACGAAUCCAGGCCCUACGGGGCGCAGCAGGCGCGAAAACUUUACAAUGCGGGAAACCGUGAUAAGGGAACUCCGAGUGUCCGUAAAUGCGGACUGUCCGUAUGUUUAAAAAGCAUGCGAAGAAAGGGCCGGGCAAGACCGGUGCCAGCCGCCGCGGUAAUACCGGCGGCUCGAGUGGUGGCCACUAUUACUGGGCUUAAAGCGUUCGUAGCUGGGUCGUUAAGUCUCUUGGGAAAUCUACCGGCUUAACCGAUAGGCGUCCAAGGGAUACUGGCGAUCUAGGGACCGGGAGAGGUGAGGGGUACUUCAGGGGUAGGAGUGAAAUCCUGUAAUCCUUGGGGGACCACCUGUGGCGAAGGCGCCUCACCAGAACGGCUCCGACAGUGAGGGACGAAAGCUGGGGGAGCAAACCGGAUUAGAUACCCGGGUAGUCCCAGCCGUAAACGAUGCGCGUUAGGUGUAUCGAUGACCACGAGUCAUCGAGGUGCCGAAGGGAAACCGUGAAACGCGCCGCCUGGGAAGUACGGUCGCAAGGCUGAAACUUAAAGGAAUUGGCGGGGGAGCA